Molecule: long non-coding RNA, 1507 nt
Filed under: Homo sapiens (human)
Lineage: Eukaryota; Metazoa; Chordata; Mammalia; Primates; Hominidae
Description: DPH6 divergent transcript (DPH6-DT)
Source: RNAcentral
CGCCGCAGCUCGCGUGACGCACCGCGGGGCCUCGCCCGGGUGUUCGCUCCGCCGCCUGUCCGCGGAUCGGCGCUGCGAGCCCCGCGGCUGCCUGCGGGACACCUGAGCGCGGAGGGUGCGGCACCUUGGCACCUUGACCCUGUGGCAGGGACAUCUCGGCCCAGGAAAGAAUGAGGUUUAGGCACGGCCUAACCACCUAAGUGAGGGCACUGAAGCUGCCGGGGGAAGGGCAAGGUCCGCGUUGCAGAGCCCAAGCCCAGUGGCGCAGGAUUUGUUUUGGUCUCAGUUUGCUUCAUCUCUGGAAUGGAGAUGGUUUCCUAUGUGAUCAUGAAAAUUUCUCCCAGCUCUGAAGACCUUUUAUUUUGUAAGAAUCAUUGUGAAGGUAUGGGCUUGGCAAAUGAAUGGAAAGAUGAGCAAUGGGAGAGGAAAGAAUUGAAGAGGGCUGUGAGGUUUGAAGAAUGGCAUCCCCCAUGAAGUGGCGCUGAAAGAUCACGAUAGCACAGUUCCAUGAUGUGAAAUACCACAAGUCUGCAAUUUUUCGGUCUUGAGAGUGUCGCUGGGCUGAGAGGAUGGAAAUCUUUCAGUAAUUAUACCAGUUUGUAUUCGUCUCACAUUUGGGACCAAAUACAAAUCCGAUCCACUCUUUCUCCCUGUGAAUAUUCAUAAAAAACAAAGUGCCAAUUCUGGUCUAAUCAUGUAUGGAACCAAAUAUGUUGAUGAGUCCUAAGUAUAUACUGUAUGUAUGUAUACAUAUGAAUAUAUAUAUUUGUACACACUAAUUUUGCUUGUGUCCUCCUCUGUGCAAUUUGUUUGUUUAGUAUAGGGGUUGCUGUUAUAAUGUGUUAAUAAGCUGCUGAAAGCUUGGCACCUAUUACUUGAAAUGACAGCUAUGUUAGAAGCCUAUUAACACUCCAUAGCAGCAGCUCUGCAGCUACUAGAAAUGAAUUUCAAAGAAGGUAAAUGAACAAAAGCGAUUCAUAUCUCUAAGGAAAGCAAAUACCAUGCCUAGAACCAUAUAUACUUUGGAAAUGUACAGUGUAUAAAAUGAAAAACCUCUUCCAGUUAAAGAAACAGCGGAAGGGAAUAUUUGGGGAAAGGAAGACUGCCUAAAAGAUUUCCAAACAACCUUGAAGAUGUAAAUGUAAAGGAUACCAAACAUAACUUCCUCUCUUUGUUUCUAUUGUAUUUAAACCAGAUCCAUGUCAAACUUAUAAGAACAGAAUAUAGUACAGGUAGAGGAAAUUCACUUUUCAUGAGCAAAAGUUAAAUCAUCUGGAUUUAGCUCAAACUUCUUUUUCUUCAUUUCUGAGCUUAGAAGGACACCCUUUGCUAUUGUUCUCGGAAGCAGGGCUCUUUAUGAGUCAGCUUGCUCUGCUUUUGAACUACUUUACUUACUUUUGACUGUCAUUGGAAUUUGCAAGAUGGUUGAAAGUCCUGGGUAAACCUUAACCAUGAUAAUAAAAAUGUGGUAAGUUAAAAAAAAAAAAAAAAAAAAAAAAAAAAAAAA